Molecule: ribosomal RNA, 253 nt
Filed under: uncultured bacterium
Lineage: Bacteria
Description: partial 16S ribosomal RNA
Rfam family: Bacterial small subunit ribosomal RNA
Source: RNAcentral
CACGGGGGGGGCAAGCGUUGUUCGGAAUUACUGGGCGUAAAGGGCUCGUAGGCGGCCAACUAAGUCGGAUGUGAAAUCCCCAGGCUUAACCUGGGAACUGCAUCCGAUACUGGAUGGCUUGAAUCCGGGAGAGGGAUGCAGAAUUCCAGGUGUAGCGGUGAAAUGCGUAGAUAUCUGGAGGAAUACCGGUGGCGAAGGCGGCAUCCUGGACCGGCAUUGACGCUGAUGAGCGAAAGCUAGGGGAGCAAACGGG